This is a long non-coding RNA of Trifolium pratense (red clover), 1039 nucleotides long. RefSeq lists it as uncharacterized. The transcript is spliced from 5 exons. The record is from RefSeq and is a predicted model, not a curated record. NCBI's taxonomy places the organism in Eukaryota, Viridiplantae, Streptophyta, Magnoliopsida, Fabales, Fabaceae.
UUUCAUUUCCAGAAUUAAAGGUGUUAGAGCUUCGUGGAGUACCGAAGCUCAAAUGUUUUUGUUCGGGAGCGUAUGACUAUGAUAUCAUGGUCUCGUCAAUGGAAGAGUGUCUAAAUAUGGGAACCUUUCCCCAUGGAAAUGUUAUUGUAAACACACCCAACCUUCAUAAACUAAAAUUGGAUUGGAUUGAUACGUACACACAUGGAGACCUUAAUAUGAUAAUAUAUUAUCUUCAAAAUUCAGAGAAAUUCAAGGUAGAAUUGCAAAAAUUAAAGACAUUUGUUUCAUAUUGAUGUGCGUCAAUGCGAGAAGAUGAAAGCGAUCAUUGGGAAUAAUUGUGUACAACAGAAGGCUAAGAAGAUCAUAUUCCCAUCAUUGCAGUUUAUUGAACUAGAAAAUCUUCCCAACCUCAAAUGUUUCGGUCAAAGUUCUCUCCCUUCCUAUGUUGAGUUGCCACAGUUUUACAAAAUACGGAUUGAAGACUGUCAAGAGUUGAAAACUUUUUGGGACGAUGGAAUUGUAUACACACAAAGCAAUUUUAUAAUUUCUAUGGAAGAUUCUUAUUUUUGUGAUGAAUUGGGUCUGAAUGAGUCCAUACAACAACACAGUAAAUUGCAAUGAAGGCAAGUGUUGUUGUGAAGUUUGAAUUUCUAUCUCUUCACUAAAUGCAUAUAUUGUUGCCUUGUUCACUCCUUGAUGUGACACCUUUAAUCCAACCCUUGAGGUUGUUCUUCGACAAGGGAUAAUGUCAUUUUUAUUUGCAAGGGAACAUGGUCUGCAUCCUGAUAUUUUAAGCAUGUGAUUUCUAAUUCAAAUCCAGAUGCUACAUUACAUAUAUAUGCUUGAACAUUUUAGAGAAAUUGACUUCCUCCCUCUGAGCAACUAAAAUACUUUUGGUGCCGAGUUUGAGCAAAACACUUCAACAAACUCAUGGUGCCAAGGCUAGUUGUGUGGUCCAUUAUGUAUGAUCAUAUUUAAGGUUAAUGAAAGUGUUGGCUACAUUCUUAAGGAUUUAAGUUGUUACUUGUGUAGUUGUAGU